This 498-nucleotide ribosomal RNA is filed under the name uncultured bacterium. Its description in RNAcentral is "partial 16S ribosomal RNA". It matches the Rfam family "Bacterial small subunit ribosomal RNA", at positions 28 to 507 of the family's 1533-position model. The record is from RNAcentral.
GACGAACGCUGGCGGCGUGCCUAAUACAUGCAAGUCGAGCGGACGAAUCGAAAGCUUGCUUUUGAUUCGUUAGCGGCGGACGGGUGAGUAACACGUGGGCAACCUGCCCUGUAGACGGGGAUAACACCGAGAAAUCGGUGCUAAUACCGGAUAACACGAAAUGUCGCAUGACGUUUCGUUGAAAGACGGCGCAAGCUGUCGCUACAGGAUGGGCCCGCGGCGCAUUAGCUAGUUGGUGAGGUAACGGCUCACCAAGGCGACGAUGCGUAGCCGACCUGAGAGGGUGAUCGGCCACACGGGGACUGAGACACGGCCCAGACUCCUACGGGAGGCAGCAGUAGGGAAUCUUCCGCAAAGGACGAAAGUCUGACGGAGCAACGCCGCGUGAGCGAAGAAGGCCUUCGGGUCGUAAAGCUCUGUUGUUAGGGAAGAACAAGUAGCGCAGUAACUGGCGUUACCGUGACGGUACCUAACGAGAAAGCCACGGCUAACUACGUG